Molecule: ribosomal RNA, 253 nt
Filed under: uncultured bacterium
Lineage: Bacteria
Description: partial 16S ribosomal RNA
Rfam family: Bacterial small subunit ribosomal RNA
Source: RNAcentral
UACGAAGGGGGCUAGCGUUGCUCGGAAUCACUGGGCGUAAAGCGCACGUAGGCGGCUUCUUAAGUCAGGGGGGAAAUCCUGGAGCUCAACUCCAGAACUGCCUUUGAUACUGAGGAGCUUGAGUCCGGGAGAGGUGAGUGGAACUGCGAGUGUAGAGGUGAAAUUCGUAGAUAUUCGCAAGAACACCAGUGGCGAAGGCGGCUCACUGGCCCGGUACUGACGCUGAGGUGCGAAAGCGUGGGGAGCAAACAGG